RNAcentral lists this ribosomal RNA (253 nucleotides) under uncultured bacterium. RNAcentral describes it as "partial 16S ribosomal RNA". It matches the Rfam family "Bacterial small subunit ribosomal RNA", at positions 524 to 776 of the family's 1533-position model. The record is from RNAcentral.
GACAGAGGUGCCGAGCGUUAGGCGGAAUCACUGGGCUUAAAGCGUGUGUAGGCGGAUGGGUAAGUACCUUGUGAAAUCCCACGGCUCAACCGUGGAACUGCUCGGUAUACUGCUCGUCUUGAGCCAACUAGGGGCGACCGGAACAAACGGUGGAGCGGUGAAAUGCGUAGAUAUCGUGUGGAACGCCGAUGGUGAAAACAGGUCGCUGGGGUUGUGCUGACGCUGAGACACGAAAGCCAGGGGAGCGAACGGG